AGAGUUUGAUCCUGGCUCAGGAUGAACGCUAGCGGCAGGCCUAAUACAUGCAAGUCGAGGGGCAGCACAGGUAGCAAUACUGGGUGGCGACCGGCAAACGGGUGCGGAACACGUACGCAACCUUCCUUUGAGCGGGGAAUAGCCCAUAGAAAUGUGGAUUAAUACCCCGUAAUAUCGUUGUCAGGCAUCUGAUGGCGAUUAAAGCUCCGGCACUCGAAGAUGGGCGUGCGUCUGAUUAGGUAGUUGGUGAGGUAACGGCUCACCAAGCCGACGAUCAGUAACUGGCGUGAGAGCGCGACCAGUCACACGGGCACUGAGACACGGGCCCGACUCCUACGGGAGGCAGCAGUAAGGAAUAUUGGUCAAUGGACGCAAGUCUGAACCAGCCAUGCCGCGUGGAGGAUGAAGGUCCUCUGGAUUGUAAACUUCUUUUAUCUGGGAAGAAAUGUCGGUUUUCUAACUGGCUUGACGGUACCAGAUGAAUAAGCACCGGCUAACUCCGUGCCAGCAGCCGCGGUAAUACGGAGGGGGCUAGCGUUGCUCGGAAUGACUGGGCGUAAAGGGCGCGUAGGCGGAAUGUACAGUCAGACGUGAAAUUCCCGGGCUCAACCUGGGGGCUGCGUUUGAUACGUGCAUUCUUGAGUAUGGAAGAGGGUCGUGGAAUUCCCAGUGUAGAGGUGAAAUUCGUAGAUAUUGGGAAGAACACCGGUGGCGAAGGCGGCGACCUGGUCCAUUACUGACGCUGAGGCGCGAAAGCGUGGGGAGCAAACAGGAUUGGAUACCCUGGUAGUCCACGCCGUAAACGAUGUGUGCUGGAUGUUGGGUGACCUAGUCACUCAGUGUCGUAGCUAACGCGAUAAGCACACCGCCUGGGGAGUACGGCCGCAAGGUUGAAACUCAAAGGAAUUGACGGGGGCCCGCACAAGCGGUGGAGCAUGUGGUUUAAUUCGACGCAACGCGCAGAACCUUACCAGGACUUGACAUGGGCAGGACGCGUCCAGAGAUGGGCGUUCCCGCAAGGGCCUGCUGCACAGGUGCUGCAUGGCUGUCGUCAGCUCGUGUCGUGAGAUGUUGGGUUAAGUCCCGCAACGAGCGCAACCCUCGCCUUCAGUUGCCAUCACGUUUGGGUGGGCACUCUGAAGGAACUGCCGGUGACAAGCCGGAGGAAGGUGGGGAUGACGUCAAGUCCUCAUGGCCCUUAUGUCCUGGGCUACACACGUGCUACAAUGGCGGUGACAGUGGGAAGCCAGGCAGCGAUGCCGAGCCGAUCUCUAAAAGCCGUCUCAGUUCGGAUUGCACUCUGCAACUCGGGUGCAUGAAGGUGGAAUCGCUAGUAAUCGCGGAUCAGCAUGCCGCGGUGAAUACGUUCCCGGGCCUUGUACACACCGCCCGUCACACCAUGGGAGUUGGUUUGACCUUAAGCCGGUGCGCGAACCCAGCAAUGGGACGCAGCCGACCACGGUCGGGUCAGCGACUGGGGUGAAGUCGUAACAAGGUA
Molecule: ribosomal RNA, 1498 nt
Filed under: metagenome
Description: bacterial SSU rRNA
Rfam family: Bacterial small subunit ribosomal RNA
Source: RNAcentral